Long non-coding RNA from Antechinus flavipes (yellow-footed antechinus), 543 nucleotides. RefSeq lists it as uncharacterized. The record is from RefSeq and is a predicted model, not a curated record. The transcript is spliced from 3 exons. NCBI's taxonomy places the organism in Eukaryota, Metazoa, Chordata, Mammalia, Dasyuromorphia, Dasyuridae.
GGGGAAAGUCUAAAUAGUUUCAUUCGAUAAAAAGACUUGCUUUCUGACAAGAACUGAAUCUGCCUAAGUGACUGGAAUUGGAAUUGGAAGACUUGAAGCCCUUAGAGUCCGUAAAAGGCUCCCAUUUCCCUUUGAUUUUGGGAAACUCUAAAUGGUUUGAGUUCAUAAGGAUUCUCCCAUCUUCCUUUGGAAAGAUCAGGAACCAGCGGGAUCCAGUGGCAAGAUAUAUUUCAGAAUGACUUGAGAUGGACUUAGAUGAAGGAGGAGACUUUGGUCAUUUUAAGUUAACAUCUUUCCCAUGUUUGACUGAGGCAACAUUCCGUGAUUAAGACUAGGCAUUUUUGCGUGAAUUUUGAGAGGGAAGUUCAAGAAGGGGCAAUCUUUCUGUUUGAGAAAUGUUCAGUGGUCACAGAAUGUUUUAUACUAAAUGCCUUGAAAUUCUUGGAAGAAAGAUACUAUAUACAAAAUAUAAAUACAAGCAAGAUCAUUUCUUUUUAAAAAAUGGUAAUAAAUGAUUUUUAAAGCACAGAGAUUAUAAGAAUA